GAAUUGUUCGCAAUGGGCGCAAGCCUGACGACGCAACGCCGCGUGGAGGAUGAAGAUCCUCGGGUCGUAAACUCCUGUCGACCGGGACGAAAUUCCCGCGAGCUAACAUCUCGCGGGAUUGACGGUACCGGUGGAGGAAGCCCCGGCUAACUCCGUGCCAGCAGCCGCGGGAAUACGGGGGGGGCAAGCGUUGUUCGGAAUUACUGGGCGUAAAGGGCUCGUAGGCGGCCGCACAAGUCCGACGUGAAAUCCCUCGGCUCAACCGAGGAACUGCGUCGGAAACUAGGUGGCUUGAAUCCAAGAGAGGGAUGCGGAAUUCCAGGUGUAGCGGUGAAAUGCGUAGAUAUCUGGAGGAACACCGGUGGCGAAGGCGGCAUCCUGGAUUGGCAUUGACGCUGAGGAGCGAAAGCCAGGGGAGCAAACGGG
Molecule: ribosomal RNA, 426 nt
Filed under: uncultured bacterium
Lineage: Bacteria
Description: bacterial SSU rRNA
Rfam family: Bacterial small subunit ribosomal RNA
Source: RNAcentral